This 329-nucleotide unclassified non-coding RNA is filed under the name soil metagenome. RNAcentral's name for it is "partial contains 5.8S ribosomal RNA, internal transcribed spacer 2, and large subunit ribosomal RNA". The stretch from base 1 to 120 matches the Rfam family "5.8S ribosomal RNA", at positions 35 to 154 of the family's 154-position model. The record is from RNAcentral.
GAUGAAGAACGUAGCGAAAUGCGAUAAGUAAUGUGAAUUGCAGAAUUCAGUGAAUCAUCGAAUCUUUGAACGCACAUUGCGCCCCCUGGUAUUCCGGGGGGCAUGCCUGUCCGAGCGUCAUUACAACCCUCAAGCUCAGCUUGGUGUUGGGCCCCGCCGCCCCGGCGGGCCCUAAAGUCAGUGGCGGUGCCGUCCGGCUCCGAGCGUAGUAAUUCUUCUCGCUCUGGAGGUCCGGUCGUGUGCUCGCCAGCAACCCCCAAUUUUUUUCAGGUUGACCUCGGAUCAGGUAGGGAUACCCGCUGAACUUAAGCUUAUCAAUAAGCGGAGGA